This 106-nucleotide ribosomal RNA is filed under the name Nannospalax galili (Upper Galilee mountains blind mole rat). Lineage: Eukaryota; Metazoa; Chordata; Mammalia; Rodentia; Spalacidae. The record is from RNAcentral.
UACUGCAUACAACCCUGAAUACUCUUGAUUUCAUCUACUCUUGGAGUUAAGCAGGGCCAGGUCUGGUUAGUACUUGGAUAGGAGAAAAUGAAAAAUGAAACAGUAU